CGGUCCUAAGGUAGCGAAAUUCCUUGUCGGGUAAGUUCCGACCUGCACGAAUGGCAUAAUGAUGGCCACACUGUCUCCUCCUGAGACUCAGUGAAGUUGAAGUGUUUGUGAUGAUGCAAUCUCCCCGCGGCUAGACGGAAAGACCCCAUGAACCUUUACUGCAGCUUUGCAUUGGACUUUGAACCGAUCUGUGUAGGAUAGGUGGGAGGCAGUGAAGCUAGGACGCCAGUCUUAGCGGAGCCAACCUUGAAAUACCACCCUGAUUUGUUUGAGGUUCUAACCUGGGAGCGUAAUCCGCUCCGGGGACCGUGCAUGGUAGGCAGUUUGACUGGGGCGGUCGCCUCCUAAAGGGUAACGGAGGAGUGCGAAGGUACGCUAGGCACGGUCGGAAAUCGUGCUGAUAGUGCAAUGGCAAAAGCGUGCUUGACUGCGAGUCCGACAAGACGAGCAGAUACGAAAGUAGGUCAUAGUGAUCCGGUGGCUCUGCAUGGAAGGGCCAUCGCUCAACGGAUAAAAGGUACUCUGGGGAUAACAGGCUGAUACCGCCCAAGAGUUCAUAUCGACGGCGGUGUUUGGCACCUCGAUGUCGGCUCAUCUCAUCCUGGGGCUGUAGCCGGUCCCAAGGGUAUGGCUGUUCGCCAUUUAAAGAGGUACGUGAGCUGGGUUUAAAACGUCGUGAGACAGUUUUGUCCCUAUCUGCCGUGGGCGCUGGAAGAUUGACGGGGGCUGUUCCUAGUACGAGAGGACCGGAAUGGACUCACCUCUGGUGUACCGGUUGUCACGCCAGUGGCACCGCCGGGUAGCUAUGUGGGGAAAGGAUAACCGCUGAAAGCAUCUAAGCGGGAAACCUGCCUGAAGAUAAGUCUUCCUGGAGGCUAGACCUCCCUGAAGAGUCGUUCGAGACCAGGACGUUGAUAGGUCGGGUGUGCAAGCGCUGCGAGGCGUUGAGCUGACCGAUACUAAUUGCUCGUGAAGCUUGAUCCU
Molecule: ribosomal RNA, 984 nt
Filed under: human gut metagenome
Description: bacterial LSU rRNA
Rfam family: Bacterial large subunit ribosomal RNA
Source: RNAcentral